This 550-nucleotide ribosomal RNA is filed under the name uncultured bacterium. Its description in RNAcentral is "bacterial SSU rRNA". It matches the Rfam family "Bacterial small subunit ribosomal RNA", at positions 355 to 896 of the family's 1533-position model. The record is from RNAcentral.
UGGGGAAUCUUCCGCAAUGGACGAAAGUCUGACGGAGCAACGCCGCGUGAGUGAUGACGGCCUUCGGGUUGUAAAGCUCUGUUAAUCGGGACGAAAGGCCUUCUUGCGAAUAGUUAGAAGGACUGACGGUACCGGAAUAGAAAGCCACGGCUAACUACGUGCCAGCAGCCGCGGUAAUACGUAGGUGGCAAGCGUUGUCCGGAAUUAUUGGGCGUAAAGCGCGCGCAGGCGGAUUGGUCAGUCUGUCUUAAAAGUUCGGGGCUUAACCCCGUGAUGGGAUGGAAACUGCCAAUCUAGAGUAUCGGAGAGGAAAGUGGAAUUCCUAGUGUAGCGGUGAAAUGCGUAGAUAUUAGGAAGAACACCAGUGGCGAAGGCGACUUUCUGGACGAAAACUGACGCUGAGGCGCGAAAGCCAGGGGAGCGAACGGGAUUAGAUACCNCNGUAGUCCUGGCCGUAAACGAUGGGUACUAGGUGUAGGAGGUAUCGACCCCUUCUGUGCCGGAGUUAACGCAAUAAGUACCCCGCCUGGGGAGUACGACCGCAAGGUUG